This 429-nucleotide ribosomal RNA is filed under the name Bacteroidota bacterium. RNAcentral describes it as "Bacteroidetes bacterium partial 16S ribosomal RNA". It matches the Rfam family "Bacterial small subunit ribosomal RNA", at positions 355 to 776 of the family's 1533-position model. The record is from RNAcentral. Lineage: Bacteria; Pseudomonadati; Bacteroidota.
UAGGGAAUCUUCCGCAAUGGACGCAAGUCUGACGGAGCAACGCCGCGUGAGUGAAGAAGGAUUUCGGUUCGUAAAACUCUGUUGUUAGAGAAGAACAGCGCAUAGAGUAACUGUUAUGCGUGUGACGGUAUCUAACCAGAAAGCCACGGCUAACUACGUGCCAGCAGCCGCGGUAAUACGUAGGUGGCAAGCGUUGUCCGGAUUUAUUGGGCGUAAAGCGAGCGCAGGCGGUCAAUUAAGUCUGAUGUGAAAGCCCCCGGCUCAACCGGGGAGCGUCAUUGGAAACUGGUUGCCUUGAGUGCAGGAGAGGAGAGUGGAAUUCCAGGUGUGUCGGUGAAAUGCAUAGAUAUAUGAAGGAACACCAGUGGCGAAGGCGACUCUCUGGGAUGUAACUGACGCUGAGGCUCGAAAGCGUGGGUAGCAAACAGG